RNAcentral lists this ribosomal RNA (795 nucleotides) under uncultured bacterium. Its description in RNAcentral is "bacterial SSU rRNA". It matches the Rfam family "Bacterial small subunit ribosomal RNA", at positions 8 to 796 of the family's 1533-position model. The record is from RNAcentral.
AGAGUUUGAUCCUGGCUCAGAUUGAACGCUGGCGGCAUGCUUUACACAUGCAAGUCGAACGGCAGCAUGGGUGCUUGCACCUGAUGGCGAGUGGCGGACGGGUGAGUAAUGCAUCGGGACGUGUCUGUAAGAGGGGGAUAACUGUUCGAAAGAACAGCUAAUACCGCAUAACAUCCGAGGAAGAAAGCUGGGGACCUUAGGGCCUGGCGCUUACAGGGCGACCGAUGUCUGAUUAGCUAGUUGGUAGGGUAAAAGCCUACCAAGGCGACGAUCAGUAGCUGGUCUGAGAGGACGACCAGCCACACUGGGACUGAGAAACGGCCCAGACUCCUACGGGAGGCGGCAGUGGGGAAUUUUGGACAAUGGGGGCAACCCUGAUCCAGCAAUGCCGCGUGUCUGAAGAAGGCCUUCGGGUUGUAAAGGACUUUUGUUGGGGAGCAAGGUGCACAGGUUAAGAGCUAGUGUACUUGAGAGUACCCAAAGAAUAAGGACCGGCUAACUACGUGCCAGCAGCCGCGGUAAUACGUAGGGUCCAAGCGUUAAUCGGAAUUACUGGGCGUAAAGAGUGCGCAGGCGGCUUUGUAAGCUUGAUGUGAAAUCCCCGGGCUCAACCUGGGAACUGCAUUGAGGACUGCAAGGCUAGAGUGUAGCAGAGGGGGGUAGAAUUCCACGUGUAGCAGUGAAAUGCGUAGAGAUGUGGAGGAAUACCGAUGGCGAAGGCAGCCCCCUGGGUUAACACUGACGCUCAUGCACGAAAGCGUGGGGAGCAAACAGGAUUAGAUACCCUGGUAGUCC